UCUGGGUCAUUUAGAGGAAGUAAAAGUCGUAACAAGGUCUCCGUAGGUGAACCUGCGGAGGGAUCAUUACACAAAUAUGAAGGCGGGCUGGAACCUCUCGGGGUUACAGCCUUGCUGAAUUAUUCACCCUUGUCUUUUGCGUACUUCUUGUUUCCUUGGUGGGUUCGCCCACCACUAGGACAAACAUAAACCUUUUGUAAUUGCAAUCAGCGUCAGUAACAAAUUAAUAAUUACAACUUUCAACAACGGAUCUCUUGGUUCUGGCAUCGAUGAAGAACGCAGCGAAAUGCGAUAAGUAGUGUGAAUUGCAGAAUUCAGUGAAUCAUCGAAUCUUUGAACGCACAUUGCGCCCUUUGGUAUUCCAAAGGGCAUGCCUGUUCGAGCGUCAUUUGUACCCUCAAGCUUUGCUUGGUGUUGGGCGUCUUGUCUCUAGCUUUGCUGGAGACUCGCCUUAAAGUAAUUGGCAGCCGGCCUACUGGUUUCGGAGCGCAGCACAAGUCGCACUCUCUAUCAGCAAAGGUCUAGCAUCCAUUAAGCCUUUUUUUCAACUUUUGACCUCGGAUCAGGUAGGGAUACCCGCUGAACUUAAGCAUAUCAAUAAGCGGAGGAA
This 610-nucleotide ribosomal RNA is filed under the name Alternaria sp. FBr03. RNAcentral's name for it is "eukaryotic LSU rRNA". The stretch from base 235 to 388 matches the Rfam family "5.8S ribosomal RNA". RNAcentral also lists the same sequence under 1 other name. The record is from RNAcentral. Lineage: Eukaryota; Fungi; Ascomycota; Dothideomycetes; Pleosporales; Pleosporaceae.